This 493-nucleotide ribosomal RNA is filed under the name uncultured bacterium. RNAcentral's name for it is "partial 16S ribosomal RNA". It matches the Rfam family "Bacterial small subunit ribosomal RNA", at positions 29 to 508 of the family's 1533-position model. The record is from RNAcentral.
AGUGAACGCUGGCGGUAGGCCUAACACAUGCAAGUCGAACGGCAGCACAGUAAGAGCUUGCUCUUACGGGUGGCGAGUGGCGGACGGGUGAGGAAUACAUCGGAAUCUACUUUUUCGUGGGGGAUAACGUAGGGAAACUUACGCUAAUACCGCAUACGACCUACGGGUGAAAGCAGGGGAUCUUCGGACCUUGCGCGAUUGAAUGAGCCGAUGUCGGAUUAGCUAGUUGGCGGGGUAAAGGCCCACCAAGGCGACGAUCCGUAGCUGGUCUGAGAGGAUGAUCAGCCACACUGGAACUGAGACACGGGCCAGACUCCUACGGGGGGCAGCAGUGGGGAAUAUUGGACAAUGGGCGCAAGCCUGAUCCAGCCAUACCGCGUGGGUGAAGAAGGCCUUCGGGUUGUAAAGCCCUUUUGUUGGGAAAGAAAAGCAGCAGGUUAAUACCCCGCUGUUCUGACGGUACCCAAAGAAUAAGCACCGGCUAACUUCGUGC